This 403-nucleotide long non-coding RNA is filed under the name Ananas comosus (pineapple). RNAcentral describes it as "long non-coding RNA (ACOM_LNC012268)". Lineage: Eukaryota; Viridiplantae; Streptophyta; Magnoliopsida; Poales; Bromeliaceae. The record is from RNAcentral.
AGUGAUCAUGCUUGGUCAGUUUGUCCACUAUCACCUAUUGUAAUGUACCAGAUUUUAAUAUAAAAAUUAAGUGUAAAUAAAAAUAGUGGAAGAUACUAUUUUUAUUGGACUUAAAGAAGUAAAAUAUAGGUCGGAAAUGACUAGUGCUGAAAUCGGAGUGGAAACAGAAGAUUUAGAAUUUUCUGUAUAGAACGGGACUGAUAUUUUAGCAGAAAAUGUACAGUGUCAGAAAAUUAUGAAAACUGGAGAGUAUGUCAGAAUUAUUUUUAUGAGGCUAGAUUUAAAGUUUCAUAUCAUUCCGAUACCCGAAAAGUGAAAAAUAAAACCCGACUGCUAUCUGCUAGAGAUUACAGUUCGGUAGAGCUUUCGGUGACCAAAGAUGGUUGAAACUGAGAAGUUAAGA